Molecule: ribosomal RNA, 467 nt
Filed under: uncultured bacterium
Lineage: Bacteria
Description: partial 16S ribosomal RNA
Rfam family: Bacterial small subunit ribosomal RNA
Source: RNAcentral
GAUGAACGCUGGCGGCGUGCUUAACACAUGCAAGUCGAACGGAAAGGCCAUGAUUUUGUGUCGUGCUCGAGUGGCGAACGGGUGAGUAAAACAUGAGUAUACUGUCCUUGUAUUUGUGAUAAAUUCAGGAAACUGGGGAUAAUACAGGAUAGGAGCUUCUGAUGCAUGGUGGGGGAUGGAAAGUUGCGGCGGUUGGGGCUGGAAUAGCGGCUUAUCAGCUUGUUGGUGGGGUAGUGGCUUACCAAGGCUUUGACGGGUAGCCGGCCUGGGAGGGUGACCGGCCACAUUGGGACUGGGGUGCGGCCCAUACGCCGACGGGAGGAAGCAGUGGGGAAUAGUGCACAAUGGGCGGAAGCCGUAAGCAGCAACGUCGCGUGCGGGAUGACGGCUUUCGGGGUGGAAACCGCUUUCGCCUGUGACGAAGCAUGAUGAAGGUAAAUGGGUAAAGAAGCACCGGUAAAUUCCGG